This 65-nucleotide transfer RNA is filed under the name Leptestheria dahalacensis. Its description in RNAcentral is "tRNA-Tyr". It matches the Rfam family "tRNA". Rfam says of the family: Transfer RNA (tRNA) molecules are approximately 80 nucleotides in length. Their secondary structure includes four short double-helical elements and three loops (D, anti-codon, and T loops). The record is from RNAcentral. Lineage: Eukaryota; Metazoa; Arthropoda; Branchiopoda; Diplostraca; Leptestheriidae.
GAUGUAGUGGCCGAGAUUUAGGUAUUAGACUGUAAAUCUAACCACAAGAGUAAUCUUCUUCAUCA